AUUUUGAGGAGCUGAAAAUAGGUACCGGUACACAAUAUCAAAUAUUGUUCUAAUCAAUUCAAAAGUAUCAAAACCUACUUAAUCCUUUAAAAAUUGAUUUAUAUGAUUCUAAUAUUAUAAAAAAGUAUGAAUCACCAUAACAUGAUUUAAAACCUUACCUGAGCAUCGUAAUCACGUAGUGAGAUGUUUCUGAGUUCUCGAAAUCUUAGAUUCUUCAAUUUUCAACAAUCACGCACCGAACUCUUCAAGACUCCGACUCAAAUCAUGAAAGCUGCCAAUACAAAAUCCCUAACAAACCG
This 299-nucleotide long non-coding RNA is filed under the name Ananas comosus (pineapple). RNAcentral's name for it is "long non-coding RNA (ACOM_LNC031473)". Lineage: Eukaryota; Viridiplantae; Streptophyta; Magnoliopsida; Poales; Bromeliaceae. The record is from RNAcentral.